AAGUCGUAACAAGGUCUCCCGUUGGUGAACCAGCGGAGGGAU
RNAcentral lists this ribosomal RNA (42 nucleotides) under Colletotrichum gloeosporioides. RNAcentral describes it as "partial 18S ribosomal RNA". The record is from RNAcentral. Lineage: Eukaryota; Fungi; Ascomycota; Sordariomycetes; Glomerellales; Glomerellaceae.